RNAcentral lists this ribosomal RNA (253 nucleotides) under uncultured bacterium. RNAcentral describes it as "partial 16S ribosomal RNA". It matches the Rfam family "Bacterial small subunit ribosomal RNA", at positions 524 to 776 of the family's 1533-position model. The record is from RNAcentral.
UACGUAGGGGGCGAGCGUUGUCCGGAAUUAUUGGGCGUAAAGAGCGUGUAGGCUGUUCGGUAAGUCUGCCGUGAAAACCUGAGGCUCAACCUCGGGCGUGCGGUGGAUACUGCCGGGCUAGAGGACGGUAGAGGCGAGUGGAAUUCCCGGUGUAGCGGUGAAAUGCGCAGAUAUCGGGAGGAACACCAGUGGCGAAGGCGGGUCUCUGGACAGUUCCUGACGCUGAGGCACGAAGGUCAGGGGAGCAAACGGG